RNAcentral lists this transfer RNA (72 nucleotides) under Camelus bactrianus (Bactrian camel). It matches the Rfam family "tRNA". Rfam says of the family: Transfer RNA (tRNA) molecules are approximately 80 nucleotides in length. Their secondary structure includes four short double-helical elements and three loops (D, anti-codon, and T loops). Further hydrogen bonds mediate the characteristic L-shaped molecular structure. tRNAs have two regions of fundamental functional importance: the anti-codon, which is responsible for specific mRNA codon recognition, and the 3' end, to which the tRNAs corresponding amino acid is attached (by aminoacyl-tRNA synthetases). tRNAs cope with the degeneracy of the genetic code in two manners: having more than one tRNA (with a specific anti-codon) for a particular amino acid; and 'wobble' base-pairing, i.e. permitting non-standard base-pairing at the 3rd anti-codon position. RNAcentral also lists the same sequence under 3 other names. Lineage: Eukaryota; Metazoa; Chordata; Mammalia; Artiodactyla; Camelidae. The record is from Rfam by way of RNAcentral.
GGGCAUAUAGCUUAGGAGCAGAGUGCAUGCUUAGCAUGCAUGAGGUCCUGAGUUCAAUCCUUAGUACCUCCA